GCUUUGCGGCUGGAUCCCCUCCUUUCUAAGGAGCAGUACCAGUCUUCCCUGCCUGACAUUCUGUUACGGCAGUUGUUGAAGACGUGGGUACGGCGGUCGAAGGGCCGCGCGAUCGCACAAAGUAAUCUUUUGAAGAACAUCCCGCACACUGCGGCGGGCUUGUUCUUUGACACAGAGUUUUAUCCUUUCCAGGCUGCUGCGGCAGCCAGGCACGACCCGCGGGGCCGUAGCUCAGUUGGAAGAGCACCUGCUUUGCAAGCAGGAUGUCGUCGGUUCGAUCCCGUCCGGCUCCACCAGACGGGCCAACCGCGUCACCACCGGCCAGCAGACAGACGCUGCGCCCCGCCCCCCGAGGGCUCAUAGCUCAGUUGGUUAGAGCACACGCUUGAUAAGCGUGGGGUCGGUGGUUCAAGUCCACCUGGGCCCACCAGGGCCAGCCCAAAACCAAGAAGGACUCUGUGAACGACUUUCGUUCUUUGACAGUUUGAUGCAUGACAGCAUAUUUCAUUGAAAAACAAGAAAUUGCGACAAACGCGUGCAAGAAUACCAACCUUUAAACAAGGCGAUAGUCUAUUGAAUCAAUCAAGGGCAACAGGCGGAUGCCUUGGCGACAUCAGGCGAUGAAGGACGUGCUAAGCUGCGAUAAGCUUCGGGGAGCGGCAAAGACGCUUUGAUCCGGAGAUUUCCGAAUGGGGAAACCCGGAAGC
RNAcentral lists this unclassified non-coding RNA (707 nucleotides) under uncultured bacterium. RNAcentral describes it as "partial contains 16S ribosomal RNA, 16S-23S ribosomal RNA intergenic spacer, and 23S ribosomal RNA". The stretch from base 573 to 707 matches the Rfam family "Bacterial large subunit ribosomal RNA", at positions 1 to 135 of the family's 2925-position model. The record is from RNAcentral.